CUGCUGCCUCCCGUAGGAGUCUGGGCCGUGUCUCAGUCCCAAUGUGGCCGUCCACCCUCUCAGGCCGGCUACUGAUCGUCGGCUUGGUGAGCCGUUACCUCACCAACUACCUAAUCAGACGCGGGUCCAUCUUACACCACCUCAGUUUUUACCUCUGUACCAUGCGGUACCGGGGUCUUAUGCGGUAUUAGCAGUCAUUUCUAACUGUUAUCCCCCUGUGUAAGGCAGGUUACCCACGCGUUACUCACCCGUCCGCCGCUCAGU
This 264-nucleotide ribosomal RNA is filed under the name uncultured bacterium. RNAcentral's name for it is "partial 16S ribosomal RNA". The record is from RNAcentral.